Molecule: ribosomal RNA, 253 nt
Filed under: uncultured bacterium
Lineage: Bacteria
Description: partial 16S ribosomal RNA
Rfam family: Bacterial small subunit ribosomal RNA
Source: RNAcentral
UACGUAGGGGGCGAGCGUUGUCCGGAUUUAUUGGGCGUAAAGCGCUCGCAGGCGGUCCGAUGCGUCGUGCGUGAAAGCCCCCGGCUCAACUGGGGAGGGUCACGCGAUACUGAUCGACUCGAAGGCAGGAGAGGGUAGUGGAAUUCCCGGUGUAGUGGUGAAAUGCGUAGAUAUCGGAAGGAACAUCAGUGGCGAAAGCGACUUCCUGGACCAGUACCGACGUUCAGGCACGAAAGCGUGGGGAGCAAACAGG